Molecule: unclassified non-coding RNA, 323 nt
Filed under: Hevea brasiliensis (rubber tree)
Lineage: Eukaryota; Viridiplantae; Streptophyta; Magnoliopsida; Malpighiales; Euphorbiaceae
Source: RNAcentral
GGCUGGCGGAGCAGCGUUCGCACAGACCACAGCUCCGGCCUCGCCUUCCCCUGCUCCGGCUGCGUCGGCAUCAAGCGAACAGAUGAACCUGAAGGACAACUGGCGGGCUUCCAAGCUUGUCGGCCUCGCGGUUNCAACGAAAAGCUCGGCGAUGUCAGUGAAAUCCUCCUCGACAAGAGCGGCAAGAUCAACGCCGUGAUUAUCGGCGUCGGCGGCUUCCUCGGUGUCGGCCAGCACGACAUCGCGGUGACGUUCGACAAGCUGAAAUGGGUCGAUGAGCCGAUCCGCUCGGCAUCGGCCGACAAGAUGCCGGGCUCUGCGGG